Molecule: ribosomal RNA, 1337 nt
Filed under: uncultured bacterium
Lineage: Bacteria
Description: 16S ribosomal RNA
Rfam family: Bacterial small subunit ribosomal RNA
Source: RNAcentral
GACGAACGCUGGCGGCGCGCCUAACACAUGCAAGUCGAACGAGCGAGAGAGAGCUUGCUUUCUCGAGCGAGUGGCGAACGGGUGAGUAACGCGUGAGGAACCUGCCUCAAAGAGGGGGACAACAGUUGGAAACGACUGCUAAUACCGCAUAAGCCCACGGGUCGGCAUCGACCAGAGGGAAAAGGAGCAAUCCGCUUUGAGAUGGCCUCGCGUCCGAUUAGCUAGUUGGUGAGGUAAUGGCCCACCAAGGCAACGAUCGGUAGCCGGACUGAGAGGUUGAACGGCCACAUUGGGACUGAGACACGGCCCAGACUCCUACGGGAGGCAGCAGUGGGGAAUAUUGCACAAUGGGGGAAACCCUGAUGCAGCGACGCCGCGUGGAGGAAGAAGGUCUUCGGAUUGUAAACUCCUGUUGUUGGGGAAGAUAAUGACGGUACCCAACAAGGAAGUGACGGCUAACUACGUGCCAGCAGCCGCGGUAAAACGUAGGUCACAAGCGUUGUCCGGAAUUACUGGGUGUAAAGGGAGCGCAGGCGGGAAGACAAGUUGGAAGUGAAAUCUAUGGGCUCAACCCAUAAACUGCUUUCAAAACUGUUUUUCUUGAGUAGUGCAGAGGUAGGCGGAAUUCCCGGUGUAGCGGUGGAAUGCGUAGAUAUCGGGAGGAACACCAGUGGCGAAGGCGGCCUACUGGGCACCAACUGACGCUGAGGCUCGAAAGUGUGGGUAGCAAACAGGAUUAGAUACCCUGGUAGUCCACACCGUAAACGAUGAUUACUAGGUGUUGGAGGAUUGACCCCUUCAGUGCCGCAGUUAACACAAUAAGUAAUCCACCUGGGGAGUACGACCGCAAGGUUGAAACUCAAAGGAAUUGACGGGGGCCCGCACAAGCAGUGGAGUAUGUGGUUUAAUUCGACGCAACGCGAAGAACCUUACCAAGUCUUGACAUCCCUUGACAGACAUAGAAAUAUGUAAUCUCUUCGGAGCAAGGAGACAGGUGGUGCAUGGUUGUCGUCAGCUCGUGUCGUGAGAUGUUGGGUUAAGUCCCGCAACGAGCGCAACCCUUAUGGUCAGUUACUACGCAAGAGGACUCUGGCCAGACUGCCGUUGACAAAACGGAGGAAGGUGGGGAUGACGUCAAAUCAUCAUGCCCAUUAUGACUUGGGCUACACACGUACUACAAUGGCGUUAAACAAAGAGAAGCAAGACCGCGAGGUGGAGCAAAACUCAGAAACAACGUCCCAGUUCGGACUGCAGGCUGCAACUCGCCUGCACGAAGUCGGAAUUGCUAGUAAUCGUGGAUCAGCAUGCCACGGUGAAUACGUUCCCGGGCCUUGCAC